This 2782-nucleotide long non-coding RNA is filed under the name Sus scrofa (pig). RNAcentral describes it as "lncRNA (ENSSSCG00040024420.1)". Lineage: Eukaryota; Metazoa; Chordata; Mammalia; Artiodactyla; Suidae. The record is from RNAcentral.
GUUCUGUGGUUUUGACAAUGGAGAAAUCUCCACAUCCUUCUCCUUCCUGUUCCCUCUGAGCCUCUUCUUCCUCUGCUGGACACCUGUGCCAAGGAACCUACCUAAAUCCAGAAAUCUCCAUAUCCACCUCCUUCCCCCACCACCUGAGCGUCUUCCUCCCCUGCUGGACACGUGUGCCAAGGAACCUACCUAAAUCCAGAUGGUGCCACAAUGCCCGAACAGCUGCUCUGCAUCUUCCUGGCUGCCUCUCCAGGCUAAGAACGGGAUUGGAGAUGGAUCCACGGAACCUCAAGGAGAGAUCUCCACACCCUUCUCCUUCCCCCACCACCUGAGCGUCUUCCUCCCGUGCUGGACACAUGUGCCAAGGAACCUACCUAAAUCCAGAUCUAUGUCCUCCUCCUCCCUGCUCCACCUCAGCCUCUUCCUCCCUGCUGGACACCUGUGCCAAGGAACCUACUAAAUCCAGUGAUCUCUGCAUCCUCCUCCUCCCUGUUGGACACCUGUGCCAAGGAACCUACCUAAAUCCAGAGUCCUCCGCAUCCUCCUCCUCCUUUCUCACCCCGAGCAUCUUCCUUGUCUGCUGGACACCUGUGCCAAGGAACCUACCUCAAUCCAGGGGAAACGUCCAAAAAGCAGUGGCUCAGGGGAAAAAAGGAAAAGGAAGUCUGUGGAGAAAUUUCAGAGAUAGAUCCCAGGGAUGAGAACAGCCUGGCCAGCCACAAACCCCCUUCUACAAUGUCCAGUCAUGUCCUAAAGCACUGCUUUCCAGAUGCCACACUGGACAAAAGUUGACUCUCAAGAACUGCAUGCCCAAGUUUCAAGCUAAAUGCUGUGUGAUUCAGAGCUAUUCCAUCACAGGAUCCAAAGGCAUUCAGACCACGGAGAGCCAGGCACAUCGUCUCCUCUUAGGGCUCCAUAACCAGUAUGGAAACGACCUCUAGCCAUGAAGAAGAGCUCUGUAGCCACUAUCAGGAGAUGCAGCGUCCACCCAAGAGUCAGAAGAAGCCCAUAACACACCUUCCAUUGCUGGGCUUAUCCUGGGGUUCCACCAGUGGCAUUGGCAACCCCAUCUCUGCGUCUGGAAUUACCAACACCAAGCAGCAGAUGGGCAUGUCAGGGCUCCUUGUCCUCUAGCGUCCAUUACCUAUACCAGCCCUUCAGAUCCCAUUCUUCUGCAUCCUGACUCCUCCCAGUCUGUUUGCACUGCUCCUGAGCACCUGUGAGCCUGAUUUGGUCCUCUCCUCUUCAUCUCUCUCUCUCUCUGUCAGAAAAAUCAAGGGCUACCUUAGGGCUCUGUGACCAGCUCAGGUGAAAGGAAAAUGCAGAACUUUUCAGAGAUCCCUUAAGAGAUUGGUCUCUGGGAUGUACCCAGCCUGCUCUCCAAGGGACCUCUGCUUUUUCACUCUCCACUGAUGAACACCAGCCCAGCCAUCCUGAGCCUGGAGAGGCAGUUGCAUGCUGUAAGCAAGCUCUCCCGGCGGGGCACCUCCUGGGGGAUCCACCAUCCUCAUUUCCAUCCAUGUCUGUGAGCCUAGAAGGGCAAUACAAGCUUCUGCUGAGCUUAGAUGGUGCUUUUUGGCGCCCUCUGGUGGACAUUCUCUCUAAUGACAACUCAGAGCCCUGCCUCCUGUCUCCUGCCCAAACCCACCCCUGGGCCUGUGCAUCAGAGAGAGGAUUUAAUUCCUCCGCUCACUCUGAUAACAACCAAGAGCCUUUAAGAGGGUGUGUUUUUCCCUCAAUGCCAGCCAUGGCACCCACUCCUCCCAAUCCUUCACUAUCCUCCUUAAUCAGUGAGCUGAGCCUACUCCAGAAUCGGGUAACCGUUUUUACAUUAGUCAGCUUCCCCUCCUGAUUUAUGUAACACUGACUGGUUGCAGUCAGUGUUUUCCUCUCAGGGCUUAACAAGGGGAGGGAGAGGCUCAGAUGGAAGGAAAAGAAAAAACUUUUCAGAGAGAUACGUCUGUGCGUUGGAUGCAUCCUGCCCAGCAGGGAACCUCUGCAUUUACACUCUCCGUGCACGACCAACAGCAGCCCGGCUUUCUGAACCCCCAAAACCAUACAAGUCUGAUCCUAGAACAUUGCCUGCCCAAUAUUCAAGCCGACUCCACUUGGGUUCACACAUCUGCCUCUGUAGAAUCCAGAGCUCUUGACAGCCUGCCCAACUGUCUGAAAGUGACCCACAGAAGUGAAGGCAGAAAAGUGUCCUUUCUGUCAGGUCAGGUCAUUUAGAUUUGAGUGUCUGAGGUGAUCCAUAAACUAGCCCUCCUCUGAAGGCACGUGUCAGGAAAUCCACCACCACCACCAUCACCACCACCACCACCAAUCCCAAGCAGCCGCUGGGCUCCGCCGCUGCUCUGGCGCCCUCUAGUGGCCAUUCUUUAAUAACUCAGAGCCUUUUCUCCUGCCUCCUGACCAAACCCAUGGCUGGACUACACUGGGUUUGUGCAUCUGACAGCCAAUUCCCUCCUACUCUCACUCUGAGAACCACCAUGUACCUUACGAGAGGGCGAGGUGUCUCUCUCAACAUCCCCCAGCUCACUCCUUCCUCCGUGUUCUACUCUAGUCAUUCACCUCCACCUGGAAAUUCAUCUGCCUGCCUUAAUACUCAUUUCAAUUCUCCGGGGGUAACUGCUAGAAAAGAGUGGCUCGGGGAGGAAAACAAAAAGGAAGUCUGUGGUGAAGUUUCAGAAACAGAUUCCAGGGAUUAAUCAGAUUGUUAUGAUCAUUAUACAACUACAGAUGUGAUAAAUUCAUUUGAGUAAAAAAAAAAAAGAAAAAAAAA